Molecule: ribosomal RNA, 450 nt
Filed under: uncultured bacterium
Lineage: Bacteria
Description: partial 16S ribosomal RNA
Rfam family: Bacterial small subunit ribosomal RNA
Source: RNAcentral
GUGGGGAAUCUUCCACAAUGGACGAAAGUCUGAUGGAGCAACGCCGCGUGAGUGAAGAAGGGUUUCGGCUCGUAAAGCUCUGUUGUCGGGGACGAAUGUGCAGUAUUUGAAUAAAGUACUGCAAUGACGGUACCUGACGAGGAAGCCACGGCUAACUACGUGCCAGCAGCCGCGGUAAUACGUAGGUGGCAAGCGUUGUCCGGAAUUAUUGGGCGUAAAGGGAGCGCAGGCGGGAAGGUAAGUCGGUCUUAAAAGUGCGGGGCUCAACCCCGUGAGGGGAUCGAAACUAUCUUUCUUGAGUGCAGGAGAGGAAAGUGGAAUUCCUAGUGUAGCGGUGAAAUGCGUAGAUAUUAGGAGGAACACCAGUGGCGAAGGCGACUUUCUGGACUGUAACUGACGCUGAGGCUCGAAAGCCAGGGGAGCGAACGGGAUUAGAUACCCUGGUAGUCC